Molecule: long non-coding RNA, 5943 nt
Filed under: Homo sapiens (human)
Lineage: Eukaryota; Metazoa; Chordata; Mammalia; Primates; Hominidae
Description: non-protein coding lnc-CNNM1-1:5
Source: RNAcentral
GAGCGAGCGGCGGGUGUCCCUGAGAGGCCACCUUUCGACCUUCGAGGGCCAGGAGGAUACGGGGAGGUGGCCGGAGGGAGUUCCCGAACACAGGUCUUCCUGUUCCCGCCGAGCAGGUGUUGGCGGUGCCAGGCCCGGCCUGGCGGGCCCGGGCUGGCAGCCAAAUACCCAGCGUCUGUGCUCGGGACGGGAGUGUUCGUCCAGGACGUGCAGCUCCGGAGCCUGCGCGGGCGACCUUGACCACCUUUGUCGGCUGUUUCCCCCUGAGGGAAGUAUACCUGUCCUGCCAGCCUUGGUCUCUGGCAGGGAAGGUCCUUCCAACAGAGAGGGGUGCGCACGAAUUCCUUUUUGCCGCUCUUCUAUUAAUAGUUUGAGAUUUUCCUCCCCGAUUCCUUGCAGAGAGGGCCUGGUCCUCAAGGACCUCGGGAUCUGGGCGCGACGUCCCUUCCCAGCUUCCUCCCGCGCGCACCGGACCAGAUCUUGCUGUCGUCAGCUGGCUGGUACCCAAAGUUCCUCUUCGUCAGGCUGUUCCUUCCCCGUUAGAGUCCUUCCUCCCCAGGAGCCCUCUCCAUCUGCUGACCUUCAAGACCCAGAGCGAAUGCCACUUCAUCCAUGAAGCCUUCCCUUAACCCUUAUCUGGCCAAAAUGUCUCUUUCCUGUGCUUCUGUACUUUCACAAUUUUAGAAAAUGCCUUUGUGGUUAAAAACCUAUCUCCGGGACCGGACUAUCUAGGUUUAGAUUCUGGCUGCCGCUUACGAAUUUGGGCAGGUUUAGUCAAGUUAUUUUAACCUCUCUGUGGAAGUUCCUGCUCUGUGGAAAUAAUAGUAUUUUCCUCAGAGUUGGUGUGGGGAGUUUGUGAGUUAAUACAUUUACGAAGUGGUUAGUUGCAUGUAAGAAGGACUCUCUAAAUGUCAGCUAUUAUUAACAUUGCAUAUCUGCCACACCCUUCAUAGAUGGUAAACUGCUUUUUUUUUUUUUUUUACUUUUAUUUUAGGUUCGGGAUACAUGCACAGGUUUGUUUUAUAGAUAAAUUGCUUGUCAUGUGGGUUUGUUGUACAAAUUAUUUUGUCACCCAGAUAGUAAGCAUAGUACUUGACAGGUAUUUUUUCUGAUCCUCUCCCUCCUCCCACCCUCUAGCCUCAAGUAGGUCCCAGUGUCUGUUGUUCUCUUCUUUGUGUCCAUGUGUUCUCAAUGUUUAGCUCCCACUUACAAGUCAGAACAUGCAGUAUUUGGUUUUCUCUUCCGCAUUAGUUCACUUAGGAUAAAGGCCUCCAGCUCCAUCCAUGUUGCUACAAAGGACAUGAUCUCUUUCUUUUUUAUGGCUGCAUAGUAGUCCAUGGUGUAUAUGUACCGUAUUUUCUUCAGUCUACUGGUGAUGGGCAUUUAGGUUGAUGCCAUGUCUUUACGAUUGUGAAUAGUGCUGCAGUGAACAUACAUGUACAUAUAUCUUUAUGGUAGAAUGAUUUAUAUUCUUUUGGGUAUAGACCCAAUACUGGGAUUGUUGGGUCGAAUGGUAAUUCUGUUUUAAGUUCUUUGAGAAAUCGCCACACUGCUUUCCGCGGUUACUGAACUAAUUUACAUUCCCACCAGCAUUGUAUAAGCAUUCCCUUUUCUCCACAACCUCACCAGAAACCAGCAUCUGUUAUUUCUUGACUUUUAUUAAUAGCCAUUCUGACUGGUGUGAGAUGAUAUCUCAUUGUAGUUUUGAUUUGGGUUUCUCUAGUGAUUAGUGAUGUUGAGUAUUUUAUAUGCUUGUUGGCCAUGUAGCUUCUUUUGGCUAGGGACCUGUGAGUCUCCCUAGGUUUCUUGCACUUACUAAGCCUUCAACAAAUGGUAGAAGAGUCAAUUCUCUUGGUGUUUCAGAAGAAAACAAUAUCACAGCCCCUCUCCACUGGAUAAUACUAUAAAUCUUAAAAUGAAUUUUCAUUCAGAGUAAUAAACACAAGCCAAAGAACUUUGUAUAACAUCCGUCAACUUUUUGUGUUAUCUAUUUCUUUUCCAAAACAUUGCCUCUGGUUUUAAAGGUAACUGCCCACAGUGUUUCACUAAUAACAUUUUAAGCAUUACAAGUUCAACACUGAAGGUCAAAUGACAACGAACUUUCAGUGCUUCCAAAAGCAGGGGCAGAGGGCAACUGCUGAGGGGGGCAUUGUAUAGCCUAACCUUCCCAGAAUUUGAUUUAAAAGUAUGAUCUUCACAGCGUUGGCCAGCAAUAUCAUGGUCACUCCCUACGUCAUUCCCUGGGAGAAAAACAACCCUAGGUUACCUAAACAAUGUUGGCGAAGACCAAAUAUUUAUUAACAUCCUAAGCCGCCCCAUAAUCAAGCCAAUGCUGAUAGGGACAAAGAAGGUGCCAUGUGCAGUUUUUCUCCAUGUCCCCACAAUAUCUGCUCUGAAUUUUAAAAGGCAAUUACUGGGGGAGAAGGAAGCCUAUAUAUUAUGUAGGAUCCAAGUCUCAAACUGCUUUCCUAGGGAGUGUGAGGUUCUUGGAGAUUAAGUGCAGUACCUUUCUGUCUUGAGCCUUGUAGGCUGCCCCUCUAAUUUAAUGCCAGUCUUGAAAUAAACAGAAUGCUUUCCAAGUCAUCGCUAAUUUUAACACUUUAAAUUUAGAAUUGCUUAGAAUUGACUCAACACUGCCUCCUUGCUGAAUGGAUAAUUCAAGCAAACAACUCAAGAGCUGGAUGCUGCCCAGACAGGUAGGCAGCCAGAUAAAGUGAGUGUCCAGGGAAAGAGCAGUAAGGGUCAGAAGAGAAAGAGCCUGGUGUUCUCACUGCCUCCUGCCUUCCUUAUGACUGUCUGUUCAGAAGUCCUCCUAGCAUCUUUCUUCUGCCUUCCCCUGCUCCUGUCCCUGAAACCUUUUCUUCAAAAGAAGUGGAAAAGAGGAACUGGGAACCCAUAUAGCAACAGCAUCACCUGGAAUGAAUUCCUUUAGAACAUACUGUCUUGGAAAUCUGAAGCCUGCAGGGCUGGACAGGCAAGAAGAGCAGUGAGCACUGCAUGAACCUGCAUGUACUCCGAAAUAUUUUUCAAAUGGAAAAGAAAACAGAGAACACAAUUUUCAAAAUAUCUAGAGCCCUCCAAGAAGUCUUUGUAGAGAUCUAUAAAAUCUCAAGGCAAUUUAAAGGUAAUAAGACAACUUUAUUAAUAAUUAAUUAAAAUGUAAAUGUUAAUGAUAGCCCUUUGUAUAGCUAUAUUAUCUUUUUCUGAAGAAUAGAAAAAUGUUUUAGAAACACUAUUCUCUCCACAUCCUGGGGCAGCAGCCUUCUCCAAAGAAACAGAAAGAAGGAAAUGGAUUGCCUUAGCAAAAAAACAAAUGAAGACACUCCAAAUAACAGAAGAAUGGGAAGGCUACAGACCUUGAAGUCAGAAGAAAAUUUCCUCUCCUUGCCCCGUUUCUCCUUAAAUGGAUCACCAGUACAGUCUCUUACUUCUAGAGCCAUGUUAAGCUUUCUUCCCCAAAGUUGUAAUGUCCUUCUUUUGGUUGUGUCGUGUCCUAAAAUCCUACUCUUUGGUACAAGAUGAAGGUAUAUGAAGAGAUAAUGAAGGAAACAAAUUCAAUGUGUUUGCCAAGAACACAGUCUUUUAAAUAACUCUUAAAGGGUUCGUUUAAAACAGUGUAAUAAAUUGUGGUAAUCUAGUACACAAAGCUAGUAGGAACCUCGUUUAUUAAUAAUAUUUCAACAUUGAGCAGUAGAGGGCAGCACUAUCCUUCUUUUGCAAAAUGUUGAGCACUCUUGAGAAGGAAAAUAAAGGCAAAGCUCCUGACCCCUGUGUCUGUGUUUACUUUUACCAUUAAAAAAAAACAAAAAAUUGGAGUAUUUUUAUUAUGGUUUAGGUGAUUAUGUAUAAAGAAUGUCAGAGCCUGCAUUACCUGGAAGUGGUGCACCAGGUAAUGCAAAAAACACGGAAGGUUUGAGGUCCCCCACUCAGGAUAUGGGUUCUGUCUAGUAAAGAUAAACAGUAGCUUGACCCUGGGUAAUCAGAUAGGGUUAUUGUAUGAACAGACCUAAUGCUCCUGCACGUUCUGGAUAGAAGUCAAUCUACUGAAAUAGCAGGAUGUAGUUUUAAAAAAUGUGUGUAACUCAUAUAGUCUUAGCCCUGAUAAGUGCUUCUAAAUUCUUAUUCACUGCCUUUAUUCUGCUGUGUUAGUGUUGCUCUCUGUCAUACGUGGGUCAGGUCAGAACUAGCUCAAAUACAGUAUGUGUAUUAUGACUUUAAGGAGUGGUGUCAGACAAGAUGGGUAAAGAAUGUCUUUCAUGGGACUGCAGUUGGCUAAAUGGCUGUGUAUAAGUAGUGAAAUUGAAGCCUUGUAUGCUCGUCGUCAUUCUAUCACAGUAUGAUUUGAGUUUCCCUAACCGGUAAACAGCAAGAAAAAAUGAUCUGUUAUUUUUUACUAAAGUUACUUGAUGCUCUUUAGCAAGCUGACAGAAUAAUUCUAAUUUUAGCAAAUACAAAACCAUGGUAAUCCUAGCACAUUUGGAUUCUGUUUAACCCUGAAAACUCUUUUGGCAGCAAAUCUUCAAUGCCAAUUUAGAUAAAUCCCACUAGGAAUAAGCACUGAAAGACGUUGAGUCUAGUUCCCAGCUCUGCCAUGUGAAGUUGGGCAAAUUACAGUCUCUGAGCUUUUAUUUCAUCUGUUAAAUGGAGAUAAUACCUCCUAGAUUUAUUAAAAGGGUCAAUUUAGAAAAUAUGUAUUAAAAUGGUUUGAAAGCCAUUUAAGUACCUAAUGAAUAUUUCUAUCACUGUAGCCCAAAAAGAUUCCUGCCUAGAAGACUUUAUGUCUCUUCUCCUCAUUUGGUAUCAUUCUAUUGCCUGAGAUUGUUAAUUAACUUUUAUGUAUACUCAAUAUUUUCUCCCAACUUGGUUGCUAGUUCCUUGAGAACUGAAACCAUCAAUUGCACUUCUUGGUAUCCUCCACAAUAAGGUAUCUAGGUACUCAAAUAUUUGUUGGUUGAUUAAAAACAUAAACCACAAGACAUAAUUAACUCUUUUUAAAAUUGUGGUAAAAAAACAUGUAUUUACCAUCUUAAUCAUUUUUAAGUAUACUGUAUAUUAGUGUUUACUAUAUGCACAUUGUUGUGCAACACAUCUCUAGGACUUUUUCAUCCAGAAUUCUUUUUUUUUGAGACAGAGUCUUGCUGUGUCGCCCAAGCUGGAGUUCAGUGGCACCAUCCUGGCUCACUGCAACUGCUGCCUCCCAGGUUCAAGUGAUUCUCCUGCCUCAGCCUCCCGAGUAGCUGGGAUUACAUGUGCCUGCCACCACGCCUGGCAAGUUUUUGUAUUUUUAGUAGAAAUGGUGUUUUACCAUGUUGGCCAAGACUGGCCUAGAACUCCAGACCUCAAGUGAUCCACCCGCCUCAGCAGCCCAAAGUGGUGGGAUUACAGGCAUGAGCAACUGUGCCUGGCCUAGCCAUUUUCUAUAAACCUGAAAAUAGAUGCCAGAAAAGAAGGUGCCGCUAUAAAAUGCUUUCUUGAGUGAUUUAUGUCUAACAUACAAUUAAACAUUUAUGAGAAGGAAAUUAUCAGGUUAAAAUAUAAACUCACUUGCCAAUUAUUUGAUUUUCAGGAUAUCUGACUUUUGUUAAUUACUGAAAAUAAAGUAUUAUUUCUAAUCACUAUUGGUAUCACAAUAGCAUUUUUAUUUGGCCGGUAUGUGUGAGGCCUGGAGUAUGACGGGAAACUGUCCUAGAAAAGGCCCUUGCAUUGGCUGUAGAGAGUUCUGGAACUCUCAAGAUGGCAAGAUUGUAUUUAACUCUUUUAAAAACAAUGCACCUUUUCAAGCACAGAUUUUCAUCUGAUGUUGUGACCGUCAAUUAUGUCAGAUUUGUUUGAUAUAUUAAAAAAUUGGUUUCUCCUUUGCACAAAAUAAAUUAUAGAUGGAUAUAAGAUUUAAAUAUUUUAAACAAUAUAGGGAAAAUAAUAUAUUUGAAACAUAGUAUUAGG